This 329-nucleotide ribosomal RNA is filed under the name uncultured eukaryote. Its description in RNAcentral is "partial 18S ribosomal RNA". It matches the Rfam family "Eukaryotic small subunit ribosomal RNA", at positions 1470 to 1796 of the family's 1831-position model. The record is from RNAcentral.
CCCUUAGAUGUUCUGGGCCGCACGCGCGCUACACUGACGAUGGCAACGAGUUUUUCCUUCGCCGAAAGGUGUGGGUAAUCUUUUGAAACAUCGUCGUGCUGGGGAUAGAUCAUUGCAAUUUUUGAUCUUGAACGAGGAAUUCCUAGUAAGCGCUAGUCAUCAGCUCGCGUUGAUUACGUCCCUGCCCUUUGUACACACCGCCCGUCGCUACUACCGAUUGAAUGGUUUAGUGAGGACUCCUGAUUGGCGCCGCCGCCCCGGCAACGGAGCAGCGGACUGCCGAAAAGUUGUUCAAACUUGAUCAUUUAGAGGAAGUAAAAGUCGUAACA